CCCUGUUGCUACUAGACUAAUUAGUUGAUUUUUUUUCGUCUGUAUUUUGUCACUAAUUCUAACUAAAGGGCCCACAGUAAUUGGUGUAAACUGUUGUGGUGUCCCCGCCUCUUUUUAUGUCUCGUGUAUAUGAAUUGUUGUGCUUGUAUUGUGUACGUUUUUUGUCAAGGCGAAGCUAAAUAAAUAAAUAAACUACACUUUUGUACAACCGGCUUAACUACGUGAUUAAAGUUAACUAUUUUUUAAGGCUUUUUAACUACUUUUUAACUGCAGUUAGCGCUAACUACGUUUUUAUACAACCGGCCCCAGAUGUAUUUCUCGUGUUAUCGUGAGAUAUCAUGUUCAACAC
Non-coding RNA from Paramuricea clavata, 349 nucleotides. The record is from the annotation of a GenBank genome assembly. NCBI's taxonomy places the organism in Eukaryota, Metazoa, Cnidaria, Anthozoa, Malacalcyonacea, Plexauridae.